This 3596-nucleotide long non-coding RNA is filed under the name Xyrichtys novacula (pearly razorfish). The record is from RNAcentral. Lineage: Eukaryota; Metazoa; Chordata; Actinopteri; Labriformes; Labridae.
CUAGGUUGGAGACAAAUCUUUUCCUCUGGAGUCAGUGAAGCAGCUGAAGAUGCUGAUGGGUUUAGAAGAUGGUGACAUUAGCCUUCCUCUCCCUGAGACAAGCGUUGAAGCUGCUUGUGCCAACCCUCUCCUACCAAGGAUCUUCAGGCCAGUGUGUCGGGGGAAAAGGACAGGAAUUGUUUUCUCAAGAUUAGGUAAGAGCAGGUGAAAGAGGAGGGAAAAAACAAAGAAAAAUAGUUGAGAAAAUAUAUGACUGCUUUGAUUUAAUUUCUGCCCAAACACAUUAUUAGAUAAUUUCCACAGUGUUUCUCUCAAGUCUUAUUUUAUUGUAUUUACUGAUUUGUAUGUAAACACAAUUUAUCAAGAAGCAGUUCACUGCAAUGGGUAAAAGAAUGGAGAGAAGUUAUGCCACUUACAUAUUGGAUUUUUGAAACAUUACAACAAGCAAAUAAUAAUAAUAAUAAUAAAAAUAAUAAUAAUAAUAAUAAUGCAUCAGAUUUUUAUAGCGCCUUAUCAGAGACCCUCAGAGCGCUUUACAUUGGAUACAUCAUUCAUUCGCUCACUAGUGGUGGGCAAAACCGUUCAUUUCAGUGAACCAGAUCAUUCCGGUUCGUUCAGUAAAAAGAUCUGGUCAUUUCGGUCAAUUGGUCGUUAGUCAGUCCAUUCGCUCAUGUUCACGUUCGUUCAGCGUCUGAACGAACGUGAACAUGAGCGAACGGACUGACUCAACACGGCUGACCGGGUUUAUGCAGGGGAAGAUCUGUUCAGACUCUGAACGAACGAGAGCCUCUUAGCUCCCUUUGUGACAAUAACAUCAAGUAUUUCCAACAGUUACGUCUUUGCUGACAUUCAAAACACAGAGAGAUCUAAGGAUACGUAUUCAACAGCUGUGUGACUUGGGACAAUCUCAUGCACAUUUUUUCGAAAAACUCCAGGUAACAGGGUCACUUUUUACACCGGCAUGUUGACCCAGCUAAAUCAAGCUAUAUAGCUAGGCUAGCACAUUACACAUUGGUACUAAUUCAAAUGGUGGCUGAAUACAGAUGUGUCUGUACACAGACACCGUACAGCAUCGGGAUAUUUUGCUGGACAAACGCAUCUGGCUGCCUCAAGCAACCCCACGUACUCUUAUCAACCGCUGUUUGUUAGCUUAGCAUGCUAAACCUUCUGCUUGUGAGUCUCUGCCUCUGGCUGCAGCUGUGUGCCUGAUGUGUGUGUGACUGUCCCGCUUGCCCGGGCUCGGCUGUCGGCUCGUGCGGCGGCCGCGGCACUGUUUGGACUCAUGAGUACAGAUACCCCCCGCAAGAGACUGCCUUAUAGUUUAUUUUAUUCAGUACAUCUUGUUGCGUUCACAAGUCGGUUGGCUAGUGACAGGCUGACAGCACCUCGCAGAGAGUGAACGCAUGUACUCAGUCAGUCUGAGAGUCGGUCAAUCUCUCGGUCAAACCGAGAUGACUGAAAGAAAGGGACUGAUGACCGACUCGGUCUCCCUCUUUUCAGUCAGCUCAGUGCUGCUGCUGCUUCUCUGAGCCCCACCCACAGAGCAAGGCACGACGAUAGGAUAAGACAGGCAAGCACGGAGAUAGUCCCGCCCUAAGGAACGGUGAACUGACUCUUCAGCCAAUCAAAAGAACUGAACGGACUGAAUGGAUCAUUUAGGGGGGGUGACCUAGUUCAUUUCGUUCACCAAAAAGAACUAGUUCUUUUGAUCUGUUUGUUCAUGACCGACACACCACUAUCGCUCACACAGUCACACCCUGGUGGUGGUAAACUACCUUUGUAGUCACAGCUGCCCUGGGGCAGACUGACGGAAAUGUGGCUGCCAGUUUGCGCCUACGGCCUCUCCGACCACCACCACACAACAGAAGGUGAAAUUGAUCAAAUAUAACCGCAAGUCACUCACUGAUAUCAAACUAGUGCUGAAAAGUAAAGGAGUGGACAGUGAAGUAAAAAUGACUUCUGAACACAAGAGAUGAAAAAGGGUUUAGAAGAGAGGAGUGAAGAACAGAGCGGUGCCCGCCAGCAUCAAAUGUAAGAGAAUAAAAAACGUCGAAUGUAAGACAAUAAAAUGAACUUCUUGUUUGUUUGUAAACCCUAAGGAUGACAUCUUUGUCUAGAUAAAGUUGGUAUGUGUUUUCUGUAUCAGCAAUAAAAAAACAAGGCCAAAAGAAAGCCCGAACUUUGUGCAAACAUUACUCAUCACUGUUUAGCCCUACAAAUAAGAAUUGUACGCCAUCCCCUUGGUGCUUUGGUUGUGGGCAAUGGCUAGCCUCAGUCACAAGGGCUUAUGAACAAAUACCGUUCAAAAGUUUAGACCCUGAAAAUAAGACAGCCCUAGUUUUUCAGGUGGAAACAAAGGAAAACAAAUAAAAUGCAAAAAUGCAAAUAAAAUAACAACUUGUUAGCUUGGCUAAGCGGUAAAACUAAAAACAGUAAAAAAUCUGCUUAGAGCACAUCUGAAGUAAUUCAUAUUAAGUUAUAUGCCAUUUGUUUUUCUGUCAUCUAUCCAUAAAGCCAUUAGAGUUAUUACAUUUUCAUGAUCCAACCAUGAAAAAGACAGGUUGUAGAAUAUUGACAUAAUGUUGAACUACCCGUUUAAUUUCACCUUUCACAAAGGAUAGGAUCACACCCAAGCUCUCAAGAAACGACUGAAUCAACACUUUCAUCGCUCUGGCACACACUCUCUCUCAAAAUUGACAUAAAGACAAUGACAACAGGCUUCAGUUUGUUCUCUCAAAUUGAUAAUGCUCUCUGUUUACACAUCUAAUUAUCCACAUCCUGCUACUUCUGCUCCAUAAAGUGGCUCUGAAAUGAUAAUGCCAGAUGAGAGGCCUGUGAAAAGCUUAGCAAAUAUUCCUUAGGGACCAUUAAAGCUCAUUAGACACAGACGACACCCUUAUUGCAGACAGAUACAGAUCCCAUUAUACAUAUUAGCAGUGCUUGAUACAACAGGAAAGCGGGACUCUUGGGAUGGACAAAAAUAUCAUCUAUGUCAUAAACACAUUUAAAAACAUGAUUUCAAUUUUCUUCAUUUUACAGUGAAAAUCAUCUCACCCUUGGAUCCUUGUGAGAUAUGUGCCAACCCCUCCUGCUUCGGGUGUCUGAUCUGAGGCUGCCAAUCUGCUUAACACAUCAUCUAAGAGUCUCUGGGGGGGUCAUCGUUUUAGCUUUUUCCACAUGAUCUCUAUGAAUAAAGGAUCUCUGUAUAUUUGCAAAACACAUUCCGCCAUCAAGGAACCAAAUAUGAUGAAUUCUGCACUUCUGUGGUCACAAUAUAUGAUCAUAAUUAUCGCAUAAAAACCACGGGGACAUGAAAUAUUUCGAGGCAAGGCAAGUUUAUUUGUAUAGCACCAUUCAUACACAAGGCAAUUCAAAGUGCUUUUCAGAUGCAAGGGAAUACAUAAAAAAAAUUUAAAAAGGAGAGAUUAAAACAAUUUAAAAUCAGAAAGACAUGAAAUGAUUUAUAAUCAAAAAGACAAACAACUGAAAAUCAGAAAGACAUGAUACGCAAUUUAAAAUCAUUAAAACAGUUGAAAUUGAUGGAACAACAAAGUAAAGGUUUAAGGAAUUAACGCUUUAGGAAAGCUGCAGUAUAC